RNAcentral lists this small RNA (52 nucleotides) under Brevirhabdus pacifica. Its description in RNAcentral is "ffh sRNA". It matches the Rfam family "ffh sRNA". Lineage: Bacteria; Pseudomonadati; Pseudomonadota; Alphaproteobacteria; Rhodobacterales; Paracoccaceae. The record is from RNAcentral.
UCUAGCGGGGAUCGACACCCACCAGCGAGUUUCGCCCGUGGGUGCAUUUCGC